CCGUAACUAUAACGGUCCUAAGGUAGCGAAAUUCCUUGUCGGGUAAGUUCCGACCCGCACGAAAGGCGUAACGAUUUGGGCACUGUCUCAACAAUAGACUCGGUGAAAUUGUAAUCCCGGUGAAGAUGCCGGGUACCUGCGACAGGACGGAAAGACCCCAUGGAGCUUUACUGUAGCUUGACGUUGGGUCUUGGUACUACAUGUACAGGAUAGGUGGGAGACUAUGAAGCAUGGACGCCAGUCUGUGUGGAGUCAUCCUUGGGAUACCACCCUUGUAGUACUGGGAUCCUAACCAUAGGCCUUGAAUCAGGUCUUGGAACACCGUCAGGUGGGCAGUUUGACUGGGGCGGUCGCCUCCUAAAAAGUAACGGAGGCGCUCAAAGGUUUCCUCAGCACGGUCGGAAAUCGUGCGAAGAGUGUAAAGGCAAAAGGAAGCUUGAUUGCAAGACAUACAGGUCGAGCAAGGACGAAAGUCGGACUUAGUGAUCCGGUGGUACCGCAUGGAAGGGCCAUCGCUCAACGGAUAAAAGCUACCCUGGGGAUAACAGGCUUAUCUCCCCCAAGAGUCCACAUCGACGGGGAGGUUUGGCACCUCGAUGUCGGCUCAUCACAUCCUGGGGCUGUAGUAGGUCCCAAGGGUUGGGCUGUUCGCCCAUUAAAGUGGUACGCGAGCUGGGUUCAGAACGUCGUGAGACAGUUCGGUCCCUAUCCGUCGCAGGCGUAGGAAAUUUGAGAAGACCUGUCCUUAGUACGAGAGGACCGGGAUGGACGUACCUCUGGUGUACCAGUUGUUCUGCCAAGGGCAUGGCUGGGUAGCUAUGUACGGAAUGGAUAAGCGCUGAAAGCAUCUAAGCGCGAAGCCAACUUCAAGAUAAGAUUUCCCACCGUAAGGGUAAGACCCCAGGAAGACUACCUGGUUGAUAGGUCGAAGGUGUAAGUGCAGUAAUGUAUUUAGCUUAUCGAUACUAAUAGGUCGAGGACUUGACCAA
Molecule: ribosomal RNA, 989 nt
Filed under: human gut metagenome
Description: bacterial LSU rRNA
Rfam family: Bacterial large subunit ribosomal RNA
Source: RNAcentral